RNAcentral lists this ribosomal RNA (202 nucleotides) under uncultured bacterium. Its description in RNAcentral is "partial 16S ribosomal RNA". It matches the Rfam family "Bacterial small subunit ribosomal RNA", at positions 524 to 724 of the family's 1533-position model. The record is from RNAcentral.
UACAGAGGUCUCAAGCGUUGUCCGGAAUUACUGGGCGUAAAGCGCAUGAAGGUGGUGAAGUAAGUCGGAUGUGAAAUCCCGAGGGCUUAACCCUGGAAGUGCAUCCGGGACUGCUUUGCUCGAGUCCGGAAGAGGAGGGCGGAAUUCCCAGUGUAGAGGUGAAAUUCGUAGAUAUUGGGAAGGACACCGGUGGCGAAGGCGG